RNAcentral lists this ribosomal RNA (311 nucleotides) under uncultured bacterium. RNAcentral's name for it is "partial 16S ribosomal RNA". It matches the Rfam family "Bacterial small subunit ribosomal RNA", at positions 637 to 945 of the family's 1533-position model. The record is from RNAcentral.
CUGACUWGAGUUCGGYAGGGGAGACUGGAAUUCCUGGUGUAGCGGUGAAAUGCGCAGAUAUCAGGAGGAACACCGGUGGCGAAGGCGGNUYUYUGGGCCGUUACUGACGCUGAGGAGCGAAAGCGUGGGGAGCNAACAGGAUUAGAUACCCUGGUAGUCCMCNCCGUAAACGUUGGGCNCUAGGUGUGGGNNUCAUUCCACGGNWUCCGUGCCGUAGCUAACGCAUUAAGYGCCCCGCCUGGGGAGUACGGCCGCAAGGCUAAAACUCAAAGGAAUUGACGGGGGCCCGCACAAGCGGCGGAGCAUGUGGA